Long non-coding RNA from Aegilops tauschii subsp. strangulata, 588 nucleotides. RefSeq lists it as uncharacterized. NCBI's taxonomy places the organism in Eukaryota, Viridiplantae, Streptophyta, Magnoliopsida, Poales, Poaceae. The record is from RefSeq and is a predicted model, not a curated record.
UCACGUGUGCAAGGGAUCAAGAUGUCUCCCCCAGGUUGACUCUUACUCGCUUGUCUUGCAUCUUGAAUGUGCCGACAAGCUAGAAAACAGAGUCACAGGAAAGGCACCAAGAUAUCUUAUGGCUACUUACUUACCUGGAGACCCGCAGAUUGGCUUCGGCCACCUCGUCGAACCUUUGACCGACAAGGCUGGAGACUUUGAAGGAUAUGGACCCUAGGUGGUCUACAGUGUUGACGAGGGCCUUCACGGCGUACUCCUUAAGAUUGCUCACCACCCUGUGCCCAUAUGCAUACACAUAAAUAAAAAAUGAGCGAACCAGGCACAAAUUGCAAAAGCGUGGAAGCUUGCUGCUGAUUAGCUAGAUGAUCUUGUGCAGCAGCAUACGGGAGGAAGCAAUGGGUAUAUGGACAUACGCCUGCUUUCCGUCUUCCUGCAUGUAGGCUAGUUCGAAAUACUCAGCUGCAGAAUACAGUUGCGACCGCAGCGUCAUGAGAUCCUGCAUAGAGAGAUAAGAUGAAUGUCUCCCCCAUCUGCACCUCCUCCGGAGCGACGCGCAUCCCCGUGUCAGCGGCGGCGCCUCUUCUCGGG